GCUCUCUCUGAGCUCUCUGCCUCCAAGAAGACGAAGGCCAUUGGUUGGUGCAGAGCGAGGAGAGAGAGAGGGGAAGAGGAGUAGGAGGGGAUUUUGUAUCCCCAGCUCCCGAGAAGCGGAGAGAGAGAAGCUUCGGUCCGUUCGUGAGAUUUUUGGUGGCGAGUUUUGCAGUUCUUUCUUCCAAGAAUCGGAGGAGGAGGAGGAGAUGACGGGGGUUGUGGUGGUGUCGCCGUCGGGGUGCAAGGGGGG
RNAcentral lists this long non-coding RNA (249 nucleotides) under Oryza brachyantha (malo sina). RNAcentral describes it as "long non-coding RNA (OBRA_LNC003257)". Lineage: Eukaryota; Viridiplantae; Streptophyta; Magnoliopsida; Poales; Poaceae. The record is from RNAcentral.